This 201-nucleotide long non-coding RNA is filed under the name Gossypium barbadense (sea-island cotton). Its description in RNAcentral is "long non-coding RNA (GBAR_LNC022282)". The record is from RNAcentral. Lineage: Eukaryota; Viridiplantae; Streptophyta; Magnoliopsida; Malvales; Malvaceae.
GACAAGAUCCUCCCAUAUUACAACCAUCAAUCACCAAACUGUACAAAGAAAAGGAAAAAAAUAGCACAAAAAAUAAGAAAAGGAAAAUAAUUGUUAACCUUUGGCACGACAAGCGCGAGGGAGAAAUGUACGAAAGUUUUGGAUAAUCAAAGCAACUGAGAAACUUGACAAGAAGGCUUAUGUGAGGGACACUAUUUUCUC